UCUCUCUCUCAAAAUAAAUACGUAAAUUUAAAAAUUUUUAAAAACUCUGAGUUCUGAAGUUAAGGCUUUAAAAUUAAAACUAAACAUAUAUUGGUUAGGAGAGUUUAGGUACGUGAAGAUAUAGAUGUCAGCAAGUCCGAGCAUUUCUUAGUUCCAUGACUGAAAACAUGUCCCUGACCUUCACUGCCAGACAGGUCCUGCAUUAUCCCCAUUAUCCCCACUCAAGUCUGACACCAGUGAAAGAACAUGAGACUGCAAAGUGGGCCCUCACUAGGAUGGCAAUGUCUUCUAAUUCCUGGCAGUUAUCCUUGAAGUUCAAAUUAGCCAGCAAUUACUGAGUUUGGGAAACAUGGAGAAGAAUGAUACCGAUUUUUAACUUACUAGCAACUGUCUCUUUCAGUUGGGUACCAAAGCCGUGGAUGAUCAUGCAGAGCUCUCCCUACCUGUGCUGUGCUCCCUCAUUCUUCUGGCUCAUCAGGAUGUAGUCAUUCAGGCUGAGGAGUGAGGAAUGGGUACAAGUUGGAGCUGUUAUCAGCACAUGUUAGGAUGAAUUCAGGGAGUUGGUCAACAAAUGUAUCCAUGAAAAAACUAGGAAAAGAAAUUUUGACUGCUUCUUGCUGCUUGUUACUGUGAAAAAGAUAAUCGAUUGCUUCCUGAUUCUUAGGAAAAGGAAACAAAAAUUCACUCCCUCAACGGAAGAGGAACCCAUCGUUCUAGCCAAAUGUACCUGAUGAACGGGAACAUGAAGUCAUGGGGCAGACACGCAUCAGCAUCGCUGGUCCCCUGCCUUCACACGUACCACCUAGACAACCAUCUCCUCUUCUCAGGGCCCAUCUAGGUCCUACAUCCCCAAAGAGGGGAAAGCUAAGCCUUCCCUUGGGACUGCUCGGGUGUGUGUUGGGGUGGAGGGAACCAAGCAUGAGCUGGCCACAUGGCAGCGUCCUAGGUUUCAUGUAACCAUGCCUGCCCAUCACAGACCGGGCUGAGAAUUCACAUUUAUUCACCUUUGUUCUACUUAUUGUAUUGUAUCCCUUUUCCACACACCCUUCCAAGCCCCAAGCUGGUAAACACCCUUCUUCCAAACCCACGAAGUCUUUGACACACUCCCGGCUAUAUUUGGAGCUGUCCAGCAGGCCAAAGCAAGUUUUUGUACAUUUUGAGACAUUAACCUAUUGGAAUCCUCAGUCCUGGGAAUCCAGCAGGAGUCAGAGUAGCUGAUCGAAGCUUUCCAUCCAUAGAGACCUGGGGAACUGGGUCCUGCCUCAGCUAGGUCAUAAGGCCAGUGAGAAAGGACUUGUAUAAAGCAAUUCUGGCGGCCCAGGAAAAUGACUAGAAACUGCAAUCUACCCACAGGCCUCAACGAAGCAAAGGGCAAAACUAGGUUAAAAAACAAAUCGUACGGUGCAAUCUCGCUAAAACUGCAAACUGUAUACAUGUCAUAUUCAUAUUUUUGAAAAAUAUCAGAAGGAAACAUCAGAAUUCAACAUUUUGAGCCUUUCUUUCCCCCGCCUUCUAGGAAUACAGGUGAUUUUUAUUUACUUGUGUUUUGAUGCAGACAUAUUUUUCCCCACAUUUUCUCCAUUAAUCAUGUACUAUUGUCGUAAUCAGAAAAAAAGCUACAAUUUAAAAAAACUACAAGUGACCCACACCAGCCUAUGACUUGGAAGAGUGCUACUAAUGGAGCCAAGUGAGUCCAGUGAGAACAAAGUCAUUCUCCAAGCCCUCCUAUGCCCUUCAAAUGGCCUCCCUGUACCCAAAAGAAUGAAGCUUUAAAAGUGUGCAUCAUCAAACAGAGUCAUUAGACCACUAAGUCUGCCUUUGUAGAGUGUAGAAUAAGUGUUCUGAACAGGAAGGACUCAGCGGCGGCUUUCUCUUCCCCGUAGUCCAUUCCUCACCCACACAGAGUAGGGCACUUAUCCUUCUGACCACCUCCAUCCUCACCUGGAAAAUCAGGGAGCAGUAAGCCACACACCAAAGGCGAUAGCACGGGAAUGAGGACUUGGAGAAGUUGCUGGGCCAGACACCAGUGUGUCUGAUGCAGGACAAAGGUCAGGGACACACCGCGGAGGAGGCAGCUCUGCACCCACGGAUGGGAGCACCGUGCAUGGGGGCUCCGAUCCCAGCUCUGCAACCACGCAGCCUGCAAUCUUUGGGCAAGUUACUUGGUCUCCCUUGGCCUCAUGUUCCUCAUCUGUAUGGGAGUCUUCUCUUUUGUCUCCCAAGAAACCGUUGUUGAAGUUUCACAGAACAUUGGCUUCCUCCCAAAACAGGAUUAGGAAAAAAAAUGGCAACUGUGAAUCUGAACAGAAACAAUGUCCUAGCUUGGGAAACAUGGAAUGGAAAUAAAGUGUGUUUCCCUUUACUUUUGCUUAAAAUGAAAGAAAACCAAAACACCCCACCCUCACACAUACCCCAGAUACAAUUGUAUAAUCAUACAAUAAUUGUUCAGUUACUUCGAUGUUGCAAAGCAAAGCCAGAAUGCCAGAAUUUUCUAAGCAUCCAUUGUCCAAUAUGGUAGUCACUGACCACAUGUGGCUAUUGGAGGGUGGCCAGUCCCAGCUGAGAUAUGCUGUCAGCAUAAACUACACCCUGAAUUUCAAAGAUUUAGUGUGAAAAGAAGGUCACAUAUCUCAUUCAUUUUUUUCAUUGAUUAUAUGUUGGCCUGAUAAUAUUUUGGAUAUAAUGAAUCAAAAUAUAUUAUUAAAAGUAAUUUCACCUGUUAAUUUUUACCUGUAGUGUGCCUUACUAAAAAGUUUAAAAUUACUUACGUGGUUGGCAUUGUAUUUCUUGUAGGCAGUGCUGAUCUAGGAGAAAGAUUUUCUUUCUGGGAAUAGGCUCUACCUGCCCUUUCUUCAGGUGCCUUGUGACAUGAUGACAGAACUAUGUGAAGCAUGUUGCACACAGGGAAGAUGGAAGGGCUGAAGAUAUUUAUUCCACCACCACCCCCAAGCCCUCAUUGGGUUAUCAUGGCUUUGAUGUGAGCCACUGGGUCUUUCUCCUCCUUCCCUUUUCCCCCUUCCUCUUCUUUCUUUCUCUUCCC
Leopardus geoffroyi (Geoffroy's cat) is the source of this 3040-nucleotide long non-coding RNA. RefSeq lists it as uncharacterized. The record is from RefSeq and is a predicted model, not a curated record. The transcript has 4 exons. NCBI's taxonomy places the organism in Eukaryota, Metazoa, Chordata, Mammalia, Carnivora, Felidae.